RNAcentral lists this ribosomal RNA (817 nucleotides) under uncultured archaeon. RNAcentral's name for it is "bacterial SSU rRNA". It matches the Rfam family "Archaeal small subunit ribosomal RNA", at positions 1 to 825 of the family's 1478-position model. The record is from RNAcentral.
UUCCGGUUGAUCCUGCCGGACCUGACUGCUAUCGGAUUGAUACUAAGCCAUGCGAGUCAUUGUAGCAAUACAAGGCAGACGGCUCAGUAACGCGUAGUCAACCUACCCUAUGGACGGGGAUAACCUCGGGAAACUGAGAAUAAUACCCGAUAGAACACUAUACCUGGAAUGGUUUGUGUUUCAAAUAAUUUAUUGCCGUAGGAUGGGACUGCGGCCUAUCAGUUUGUUGGUGAGGUAAUGGCCCACCAAGACUAUUACAGGUACGGGCUCUGAGAGGAGUGGCCCGGAGAUGGGUACUGAGACACGGACCCAGGCCCUAUGGGGCGCAGCAGGCGAGAAAACUUUGCAAUGUGCGAAAGCACGACAAGGUUAAUCCGAGUGGUUUCUGCUAAAGGAACCUUUUGACAGUCCUAGAAACACUGUUGAAUAAGGGGUGGGCAAGUUCUGGUGUCAGCCGCCGCGGUAAAACCAGCACCUCAAGUGGUCAGGAUGAUUAUUGGGCCUAAAGCAUCCGUAGCCGGCUCUGUAAGUUUUCGGUUAAAUCUGUACGCUUAACGUACAGGCUGCUGGGAAUACUGCAGAGCUAGGGAGUGGGAGAGGUAGACGGUACUCGGGAGGAAGUGGUAAAAUGCUUUGAUCUCUCGAUGACCACCUGUGGCGAAGGCGGUCUACCAGAACACGUCCGACGGUGAGGGAUGAAAGCUGGGGGAGCAAACCGGAUUAGAUACCCGGGUAGUCCCAGCUGUAAACUAUGCAAACUCAAUGAUGCACUGGCUUAUGGCCAGUGCAGUGUUGCAGGGAAGCCGUUAAGUUUGCC